GAUGAACGCUGGCGGCGUGCCUAACGCAUGCAAGUCGAGCGAGGACUGCCCGGUGGUCAACACCGGGUUGUGCCUAGCGGCGAACGGGUGAGUAACACGUGGGUAACCUGCCCCCGACACCGGGAUAAGCCCGGGGAAACUGGGUCUAAUACCGGAUAUGACUCCACGGUGCAUGUCGUGGGGUGGAAAGCCUUGUGCGGCUGAGGAUGGGGCCCGUGGCCUAUCAGCUUGUUGGUGGGGUGANGGCCUACCAAGGCGACGACGGGUAGCCGGCCUGAGAGGGCGACCGGCCACACUGGGACUGAGACACGGCCCAGACUCCUACGGGAGGCAGCAGUGGGGAAUAUUGCGCAAUGGGCGAAAGCCUGACGCAGCGACGCCGCGUGAGGGAUGAAGGCC
This 399-nucleotide ribosomal RNA is filed under the name uncultured bacterium. RNAcentral's name for it is "bacterial SSU rRNA". It matches the Rfam family "Bacterial small subunit ribosomal RNA", at positions 28 to 416 of the family's 1533-position model. The record is from RNAcentral.